This 27-nucleotide non-coding RNA is filed under the name Homo sapiens (human). The record is from RNAcentral. Lineage: Eukaryota; Metazoa; Chordata; Mammalia; Primates; Hominidae.
UAAGGCCCUGAGCAGUACAAGGUUGGU